GGCUACACACGUGCUACAAUGGCCGGUACAAACCGCUGCAAACUCGCAAGAGGGAGCCAAUCGGAAAAAGCCGGUCUCAGUUCGGAUUGGAGUCUGCAACUCGACUCCAUGAAGUUGGAAU
This 121-nucleotide ribosomal RNA is filed under the name uncultured Acidobacteriota bacterium. Its description in RNAcentral is "uncultured Acidobacteria bacterium partial 16S ribosomal RNA". It matches the Rfam family "Bacterial small subunit ribosomal RNA", at positions 1212 to 1332 of the family's 1533-position model. The record is from RNAcentral. Lineage: Bacteria; Pseudomonadati; Acidobacteriota.